Molecule: long non-coding RNA, 607 nt
Organism: Eupeodes corollae
Lineage: Eukaryota; Metazoa; Arthropoda; Insecta; Diptera; Syrphidae
Exons: 2
Source: RefSeq, a predicted model, not a curated record
UGUCCUAAUAUUAAAAUGAAGUCAGAUUGACAGAAGAGUUUUCUAUUUAAAUUUGAAAGAAGUGUUAGUAUAUUUGUUUUGUUAUACUUUUUCAUUUGUUCUUAACUAGUUUGUUGAUAUAAAAGUUUUCUAUUUAAUGUAUAAUAAUAAAAUAUUCCUUUGUCUAUAUAAAACAUUAUACAAUUGUAAUUUCUCCCCGAUUAAUUAAGGAUGUCUUCAUCAAAUAUAGAGGAGCAUAAAAUUUGGUGUACGCUAGCAAACAAAAAAUUGCAGUCCAUCUAUAACCAGCUCUGUGAAUUCGAAAGUUCACUCUGCGAAGAACAAGAAGACUCACCCAAACUCUUUGAGCUUUUAGAAACAAUAGACGAAAUUCAAGGACACCAUCGGUCCGUUGUGCGUACCAUCCAAUCUAGUAAUGAUACCCUAAGUGAAAAAUGCAACGAUCUGCAAACACAAAUGGAACUUUUAGAGAAAUCAAUUGAUCUUCUGAAAUUGGAAACUAGUAAAUAAAAUAUUCAAAUACGAGUUAAUUCAAAGAAUGAUUGUUUGUAAACUUAGAGUAUAAUUAAUAAAAAUAAUUUAAGCAAAAUUGUAAAAAGUCAAAAUA